AUUGAACGCUGGCGGCAUGCUUUCCCCUUGCAGGUCGAACGGAAAAGGGCGGCAGGUUCUUGACAGUUGGCGACCGGGGGGUUAUUGAACCGGAAGUGCCCCGGCCUGGGGGGUAAAUAACUCGAAGGGGAACCAAUAACCGCAUACGUCCUUGGGUGGAAGCGGGGGACCGUAAAGGCUCCCGGCGUUUGGACCGCCGGUGUCAGGUUUGGGAGUUUGGGGGGGAAAGGGUCACCAAGCCAACGAUCUUUUGCUGGUCUGGGGGGGCGACCAGCCCAACUGGGACUGGGACACGGCCCAGACUCCUAAGGGAGGCAGCAGGGGGGAAUUUUGGACAAUGGGGGGAAGCCUGAUCCAGCCAAGCCGCGUGCAGGAAGAAGGCCUUCGGGUUGUAAACUGCUUUUGUACGGAACGAAACGGCUCUGGUUAAUACCCGGGGCUAAUGACGGUACCGUAAGAAUAAGCACCGGCUAACUACGUG
This 481-nucleotide ribosomal RNA is filed under the name uncultured bacterium. RNAcentral describes it as "partial 16S ribosomal RNA". It matches the Rfam family "Bacterial small subunit ribosomal RNA", at positions 28 to 507 of the family's 1533-position model. The record is from RNAcentral.